UGGGGAAUAUUGCACAAUGGGCGAAAGCCUGAUGCAGCAACGCCGCGUGAAGGAAGACGGUUUUCGGAUUGUAAACUUCUAUCAAUAGGGAAGAAAGAAAUGACGGUACCUAAAUAAGAAGCCCCGGCUAACUACGUGCCAGCAGCCGCGGUAAUACGUAGGGGGCAAGCGUUAUCCGGAAUUACUGGGUGUAAAGGGAGAGUAGGCGGCAAGGUAAGCGAUAUGUGAAAGCCUUAAGCUUAACUUAAGGAUUGCAUAACGAACUAUCUAGCUAGAGUACAGG
RNAcentral lists this ribosomal RNA (283 nucleotides) under uncultured Clostridium sp. Its description in RNAcentral is "partial 16S ribosomal RNA". It matches the Rfam family "Bacterial small subunit ribosomal RNA", at positions 355 to 652 of the family's 1533-position model. The record is from RNAcentral. Lineage: Bacteria; Bacillati; Bacillota; Clostridia; Eubacteriales; Clostridiaceae.